GAUGAACGCUGGCGGCGUGCCUAAUACAUGCAAGUCGAGCGAAUAGACGAGGAGCUUGCUCCUCUGACGUUAGCGGCGGACGGGUGAGUAACACGUUUAUAACCUACCUAUAAGACUGGGAUAACUUCUUGAAACCGGAGCUAAUACCGGAUAAUAUAUUGAACCGCAUUGUUCAAUAGUGAAAGACGGUUUUGCUGUCACUUUUAGAUGGAUCCGCGCCGCAUUAGCUAGUUGGUAAGGUAACGGCUUACCAAGGCUAGGCGGCGUAGCCGACCUGAGAGGGUGGUCGGCCACACUGGAACUGAGCCACGGUCCAGACUACUACGGGAGGCAGCAGUAGGGAAUCUUACGCAAUGGGCGGAAGCGUAACGGAACAAAGCCGCGUGAGUGAUGAAAAUCUUCGGAUCUUAAAACUCUGUUAUUAGGGAAGAAGAAAAGUGUAAGUAACUAUGAACGUCUUGACGGUACCUAAUCAGAAAGCCACGGCUAACUACGUG
Molecule: ribosomal RNA, 497 nt
Filed under: uncultured bacterium
Lineage: Bacteria
Description: partial 16S ribosomal RNA
Rfam family: Bacterial small subunit ribosomal RNA
Source: RNAcentral